GACGAACGCUGGCGGCGUGCUUAACACAUGCAAGUCGAACGGUAAGGCCCUUCGGGGUACACGAGUGGCGAACGGGUGAGUAACACGUGGGUGAUCUGCCCUGCACUUCGGGAUAAGCCUGGGAAACUGGGUCUAAUACCGGAUAGGACCACUGCCUGCAUGGGUGGUGGUGGAAAGCUUUUGCGGUGUGGGAUGGGCCCGCGGCCUAUCUGCUUGUUGGUGGGGUGAUGGCCUACCAAGGCGACGACGGGUAGCCGGCCUGAGAGGGUGACCGGCCACACUGGGACUGAGAUGCGGCCCAGACUCCUACGGGAGGCAGCAGUGGGGAAUAUUGCACAAUGGGCGCAAGCCUGAUGCAGCGACGCCGCGUGAGGGAUGACGGCCUUCGGGUUGUAAACCUCUUUCAGCACCGACGAAGCGCAAGUGACGGUAGGUGCAGAAGAAGGACCGGCCAACUACGUGCCAGCAGCCGCCGUAA
Molecule: ribosomal RNA, 478 nt
Filed under: uncultured bacterium
Lineage: Bacteria
Description: partial 16S ribosomal RNA
Rfam family: Bacterial small subunit ribosomal RNA
Source: RNAcentral